GAGUAAGACCAAGCGGCGGACGGGUGAGUAACGCGUGGGUAACCUGCCCUAUACACAUGGAUAACAUACUGAAAAGUUUACUAAUACAUGAUAAUAUAUAUUUACGGCAUCGUAGAUAUAUCAAAGUGUUAGCGGUAUAGGAUGGACCCGCGUCUGAUUAGCUAGUUGGUGAGAUAACUGCCCACCAAGGCGACGAUCAGUAGCCGACCUGAGAGGGUGAUCGGCCACAUUGGAACUGAGACACGGUCCAAACUCCUACGGGAGGCAGCAGUGGGGAAUAUUGCACAAUGGGCGCAAGCCUGAUGCAGCAACGCCGCGUGAACGAUGAAGGUCUUCGGAUCGUAAAGUUCUGUUGCAGGGGAAGAUAAUGACGGUACCCUGUGAGGAAGCCCCGGCUAACUACGUGCCAGCAGCCGCGGUAAUACGUAGGGGGCUAGCGUUAUCCGGAUUUACUGGGCGUAAAGGGUGCGUAGGUGGUCUUUCAAGUCGGUGGUUAAAGGCUACGGCUCAACCGUAGUUAGCCUCCGAAACUGGAAGACUUGAGUGCAGGAGAGGAAAGUGGAAUUCCCAGUGUAGCGGUGAAAUGCGUAGAUAUUGGGAGGAACACCAGUAGCGAAGGCGGCUUUCUGGACUGCAACUGACACCGAGGCACGAAAGCGUGGGUAGCAAACAGGAUUAGAUACCCUGGCAGUCCACGCUGUAAACGAUGAGUACUAGGUGUCGGGGGUUACCCCCCUCGGUGCCGCAGCUAACGCAUUAAGUACUCCGCCUGGGGAGUACGCACGCAAGUGUGAAACUCAAAGGAAUUGACGGGGACCCGCACAAGUAGCGGAGCAUGUGGUUUAAUUCGAAGCAACGCGAAGAACCUUACCUAAGCUUGACAUCCCUUAGACCGGUGUUUAAUCACACCUUCCCUUCGGGGCUGAGGUGACAGGUGGUGCAUGGUUGUCGUCAGCUCGUGUCGUGAGAUGUUGGGUUAAGUCCCGCAACGAGCGCAACCCUUGUCUUUAGUUGCCAGCAUUCAGUUGGGCACUCUAGAGAGACUGCCAGGGAUAACCUGGAGGAAGGUGGGGAUGACGUCAAAUCAUCAUGCCCCUUAUGCUUAGGGCUACACACGUGCUACAAUGGGUGGUACAGAGGGUUGCCAAACCGUGAGGUGGAGCUAAUCCCUUAAAGCCAUUCUCAGUUCGGAUUGUAGGCUGAAACUCGCCUACAUGAAGCUGGAGUUACUAGUAAUCGCAGAUCAGAAUGCUGCGGUGAAUGCGUUCCCGGGUCU
RNAcentral lists this ribosomal RNA (1276 nucleotides) under uncultured bacterium. Its description in RNAcentral is "bacterial SSU rRNA". It matches the Rfam family "Bacterial small subunit ribosomal RNA", at positions 83 to 1381 of the family's 1533-position model. The record is from RNAcentral.